AACUGAGGAUAAUACCGGAUAGGCAAUUAUUCCUGUAAUGGUUUUUUGUUUAAAUGUUUUUUCGCCUAAGGAUGAGUCUGCGGCCGAUUAGGUAGUUGGUUAGGUAAUGGCUUACCAAGCCGUUGAUCGGUACGGGUUGUGAGAGCAAGAGCCCGGAGAUGGAACCUGAGACAAGGUUCCAGGCCCUACGGGGUGCAGCAGGCGCGAAACCUCCGCAAUGUGAGAAAUCGCGACGGGGGGAUCCCAAGUGCCAUUCUUAACGGGAUGGCUUUUCAUUAGUGUAAAGAGCUUUUGGAAUAAGAGCUGGGCAAGACCGGUGCCAGCCGCCGCGGUAACACCGGCAGCUCUAGUGGUAACAAUUUUUAUUGGGCCUAAAGCGUCCGUAGCCGGUUUAAUAAGUCUCUGGUGAAAUCCUGUAGCUUAACUGUGGGAAUUGCUGGAGAUACUAUUA
Molecule: ribosomal RNA, 451 nt
Filed under: uncultured rumen archaeon
Lineage: Archaea
Description: bacterial SSU rRNA
Rfam family: Archaeal small subunit ribosomal RNA
Source: RNAcentral